Neogale vison (American mink) is the source of this 138-nucleotide long non-coding RNA. RefSeq lists it as uncharacterized. NCBI's taxonomy places the organism in Eukaryota, Metazoa, Chordata, Mammalia, Carnivora, Mustelidae. The transcript has 3 exons. The record is from RefSeq and is a predicted model, not a curated record.
CUCCAGCCCGCCCCGCGGGUUGAGGCGCGCGGUGGUGUGGAGUCCUUUGGACCACACACUCGAUCUGCAGGUCCUACUACAGAGAUGUCAGAAUAAUGGCUCCUUGCCCAGUGUGGGCCUCGGACUCAGGACCCUGAG